This 2164-nucleotide long non-coding RNA is filed under the name Xyrichtys novacula (pearly razorfish). Lineage: Eukaryota; Metazoa; Chordata; Actinopteri; Labriformes; Labridae. The record is from RNAcentral.
GAAAUCUCACUGUUUUUGAAAUUGCAGUUUGAGUCUGCCAGAAAUUUACAGCCAUUUGAAGGCAGACAUACUCAGAAAUGCAAUUUUGCAUUUAGUUUUCUCAUGAUAUGUCCUGUAGCAUCAGAAAAAUGCCACAUGAACAUGUAGACAACAAGAAAAACAUGAUUUUCAUCGGAGUAGGUCUUCAACCCAUUGUGCUAAUUAAGUGUACAUAAACACCUAUACACCAGGGAAAAGAAAUUGUGCAUUUGUCUUGUCAUUAAGUCUGUACUUAUGAGUUUUAUCAGCCUUGCCUACUCAUUUGAAAUGAGUAAAAUGCAGACACUGUUGAGAUAUAAACACUAACAUAUAAAAAAAGUGUGAAAGCCAAGAACAUUUACAGCUGAACAGGUGUGUUUGAAGACUGAAUAAUUAAAGCACAUCUGGUUUCACCCUGUAGAAAGUAAAGUUUUGUUUCAUUUGAUAUCAUUGUGAAAAUAACAGCUGAUGUAAAAAGCCUCCAGCUCAUGUUGCACAAGCAGACCUUUACCAGACCUUUACCAGCAAACGUAGGUCCCUAAUCGUGGUUGGAAAGUGUCUGCCGACAGUCCCUUUGAAGGCUGUUUCAAGUUUUGACAGUGUGUAUGACUCAGAUCAGAACAGAGAAGAUUAUUGCAUCAAAUGGUUAUACAACUCCAGUGUUGCAAAAAAAGGAGGCAGUAGGGAGAGAGAGAGAGUGAGAGAGAGCAAGAGAGAGAGAGAGAAAAGGAGAGGGAGAAUGUCAGAGAGAAAAAGAGAGAGUGUGUAUGUCAUUUUGGCAGCUGCUGCCAGAUUUUUGUGAACCCUUGCUGCCAGCUACAGCUAUUACCAAGGGCCCAUGUCAUACUUCUGACUGAUCAUUAUGAGGCCCAGCUAUCCUCCUCUGCAUGCUGUGGCUACCCAUCUCUGUCAAAUCAUGAUUAAUAAUGCAGCAGUUAGAAAAGCCAUGAUCUUCCAUUACUACAUGCAUGCAUGCAUAUGCAUGCACACUGAGCAGUGGAAAGUUUAAUAGGUAAUUAAUCUGUGGGUAAUUGCUCUAGCUGUCAUGGGCAUUAGGAGUUCUCCAGCCUGUCUUGUUAAUGGUUUGAAAAAUAUAAGUCUGUAUUAUUCAGGUCUACCUCUUUUAUCUUCUUUAUAUCGUUCUUUUUUUCCAGCAUGGGUUGACUUUAAUGGGUGUUUAAUUGUGUGACUAUUUAGUAUUUUUAUAAGCCCACAGAUGGCUCAAGCUUUUUUUAUGCAUCAUAUAACAUAGAACGACAUGUGGAAAAACUUUUUAUUUCCAAAAUAUCGUCUCACAUUUUGAUUGAUACUUCAACUUGUAAUAAUUUCUCAUGCCAUAUAAUUUGCCAGCGGUUCUGUCCUCAGCCUAAAAUAUCUACAAACUUACCUGUCUGCAGUCAGUUUAAUGAUUAUAAUAUGAAGCUAUGUCAGGAGGCAAUUGGGAACUUUAGUGUACCUGAUCUCAUUAAUUAUUGCUCCUAGUUCAUAAAGCUCAUCUGGCCCAAACCAUUGAUUGUUAUCGAAAUAAUCACUUUAUUGUUUAAGCUGUUUUAUGGGGUUUAAUGCACCAUGUAAUCACCCAGACGGUUUCAGAGGGCCUCACUGCUCUGUUUUCAGUUUGAGCAGGCCAGUGAUGAAGCCGAGACUCAGACUAUGAGAAGAUGAUAGGCGGCUCAGAAGAUCACAAAAGUAUGUUACGCCGUAUUUUGUAAAGACUCUCACAGUUGCAGUAUCAUUACGAAGGCUUUAGGCAGCUGCUGAAGCGUGCCGUAUAAUCCUCACCUUUAAUUACAGAAAGUGUUUAAUUGGGAGGAAAAACAUGGAUCUUUAAGUGUGUAGUUUAUUCAUCAAAGAGGACAACCACCAUCCACAAUCAGGUCUACAAAUGUCUCCCCUUGACCUCCCCUCCUGUGCCUGUAGCUGGACCUGUACUAUUGUUAUUACCAUUACUAUAUAUGGCUCAUGUGCUGUAAAAGCUGAUUCAUGAGGAAAACAACUCAACUUUAUUAACUGAACAUUCAGCUGAUGAAGGGGCAGAAAGACAAACAGAAAAGAGAAAAGAGGGAUGAGGAAGCACGGGUAGGAACUAAGAAGGGUAAAAUGAUCACAUUAAGGAAGCUAGUUAUACACAGCACACCCACUGCUG